CUGACUCAGCCUCCUGAGUGCUGGGAUGAUAGGCAUGAGCCACCACUCCUGAGUAUGAAGUUAAUUCUGGCUCACAGAUUUUAGAGGAUCCAGCGUGUAGUCAGCUGGCUUGAAGGUUUUCUAGAGUGUGUUUGCGGUACGUCACGUGUGCCUUCCUCGGGAUGAGCUGGUGCAUGGACAGGACACCGCGUUGCUGCUUGUGUCACUCCUCCCAGCCCUUGUUCCCUCUGGCUCUCGCUUCCUUUCCCACUGGCAGAAGAUCCAGGUCCCUGUUGCCUGUCAUCGCCCUUUUAGUUUGCUCUUGUCUCAUGUUUGCGUGUCUCACGUAAGAGGAACUGUGAUAGUUGA
Octodon degus (degu) is the source of this 348-nucleotide long non-coding RNA. RefSeq lists it as uncharacterized. The record is from RefSeq and is a predicted model, not a curated record. NCBI's taxonomy places the organism in Eukaryota, Metazoa, Chordata, Mammalia, Rodentia, Octodontidae. The transcript has 2 exons.